GACGAACGCUGGCGGCGUGCUUAACACAUGCAAGUCGAACGGAAAGGCCCUGCUUUUGUGGGGUGCUCGAGUGGCGAACGGGUGAGUAACACGUGAGUAACCUGCCCUUGACUUUGGGAUAACUUCAGGAGACUGGGGCUAAUACCGGAUAGGAGCUCCUGCUGCAUGGUGGGGGUUGGAAAGUUUCGGCGGUUGGGGAUGGACUCGCGGCUUAUCAGCUUGUUGGUGGGGUAGUGGCUUACCAAGGCUUUGACGGGUAGCCGGCCUGAGAGGGUGGCCGGCCACAUUGGGACUGAGAUACGGCCCAGACUCCUACGGGAGGCAGCAGUGGGGAAUAUUGCACAAUGGGCGGAAGCCUGAUGCAGCAACGCCGCGUGCGGGAUGACGGCCUUCGGGUUGUAAACCGCUUUCGCCUGUGACGAAGCGUGAGUGACGGUAAUGGGUAAAGAAGCACCGGCUAACUACGUG
This 468-nucleotide ribosomal RNA is filed under the name uncultured bacterium. Its description in RNAcentral is "partial 16S ribosomal RNA". It matches the Rfam family "Bacterial small subunit ribosomal RNA", at positions 28 to 507 of the family's 1533-position model. The record is from RNAcentral.